UGUAUCCUUCACGGCCCAACGUAUCCCAAGAUCCUUCACGGCCCAACGUAUCCGAUUCAUUGCGCACUCAAUCAAUGGAGAUGGCGGAGAAUGGCGAUUUAAGUUCUGCAUUUAAAUGGAGCCAGCAGCAUACUGCUCGAUUUAUUAUAUUGAGGGGUGAGAACGAUGAGCUGUUCACCGGGGUGAAAUACUCAGCAAGUGUGGCUUGGGGGUAAAGAAACAAUCGUUUAUUUAUAUCGAUUGCAAGUAUCCAGGGUCAGGAGAGGGGGUAGGUGGGAAACCCACUGCUGCCACUUGGCCCUGGUUUUUCCCCAUGGAUAAGGUAUUGGGACAGAGGCAUUCCACCAACCCCCCUGUCCUAAUUGCCUCCAUCCCUGAGAACACACCAGGGCCAAGUACAGCAAGUACAGCAGUGGUGG
Long non-coding RNA from Gadus morhua (Atlantic cod), 419 nucleotides. RefSeq lists it as uncharacterized. NCBI's taxonomy places the organism in Eukaryota, Metazoa, Chordata, Actinopteri, Gadiformes, Gadidae. The transcript is spliced from 3 exons. The record is from RefSeq and is a predicted model, not a curated record.